RNAcentral lists this ribosomal RNA (498 nucleotides) under uncultured bacterium. RNAcentral describes it as "partial 16S ribosomal RNA". It matches the Rfam family "Bacterial small subunit ribosomal RNA", at positions 30 to 523 of the family's 1533-position model. The record is from RNAcentral.
AUUGAACGCUGGCGGCAUGCCUUACACAUGCAAGUCGAACGGUAACAGGUCUUCGGAUGCUGACGAGUGGCGAACGGGUGAGUAAUACAUCGGAACGUGCCUAGUAGUGGGGGAUAACUACUCGAAAGAGUGGCUAAUACCGCAUGAGAUCUACGGAUGAAAGCAGGGGAUCGCAAGACCUUGUGCUACUAGAGCGGCCGAUGGCAGAUUAGGUACUUGGUGGGAUAAAAGCUUACCAAGCCGACGAUCUGUAGCUGGUCUGAGAGGACGAUCAGCCACACUGGGACUGAGACACGGCCCAGACUCCUACGGGAGGCAGCAGUGGGGAAUUCUGGACAAUGGGCGCAAGCCUGAUCCAGCAAUGCCGCGUGCAGGAUGAAGGCCUUCGGGUUGUAAACUGCUUUUGUACGGAACGAGAAGCCCUGGGUUAAUACCCUGGGGUCAUGACGGUACCGUAAGAAUAAGCACCGGCUAACUACGUGCCAGCCGCCGCGGUAA